AUCGGAGAAAGAGGCGAUGAGAGAGGCUUCAAAAGAUGUAUCAGCAGAGUUCAAAACCCUAAUCAAUGAGGAAGAUUUGGAUUCCCUCAAGCAAUUGCAGCACCUCAUAUUGGGAAGGUUGCAGGAUAGUAACGCUGUCUUGUCUCAUUUUAACCAGUACUCUGAGCACUGCUUCGCUGAGGUUUCGAGUGAUUUUUCAAGAAAUACUCGUCUCUUGAGGUCUAUGAAGUCUGACCUCGACUACAUAUUUCAGAAGUUAAGGAGCAUGAAGGCUAAAAUUUUGGCUACCUACCCAGAUGCAUUUCCAGAUGAAUCGACACAAGAAGUACUCGAUGGAAGACCUAACCUUGAAAUGCCUUGUACUCGAUAGCAUUUAAUGUUUCCACAUACAUUUGUUAAUGGUGUCCUCAGUGAUGGGAAACUUCAGGAGAGCACACUAGAUUGAAAAUUUAUUAUGUCUAUUAUUAUUAUUAUUAUUAUU
Molecule: unclassified non-coding RNA, 481 nt
Filed under: Hevea brasiliensis (rubber tree)
Lineage: Eukaryota; Viridiplantae; Streptophyta; Magnoliopsida; Malpighiales; Euphorbiaceae
Source: RNAcentral